This 1552-nucleotide ribosomal RNA is filed under the name [Enterobacter] lignolyticus. Its description in RNAcentral is "bacterial SSU rRNA". It matches the Rfam family "Bacterial small subunit ribosomal RNA". The record is from RNAcentral. Lineage: Bacteria; Pseudomonadati; Pseudomonadota; Gammaproteobacteria; Enterobacterales; Enterobacteriaceae.
UUAAAUUGAAGAGUUUGAUCAUGGCUCAGAUUGAACGCUGGCGGCAGGCCUAACACAUGCAAGUCGAACGGUAGCACAGAGAGCUUGCUCUCGGGUGACGAGUGGCGGACGGGUGAGUAAUGUCUGGGAAACUGCCUGAUGGAGGGGGAUAACUACUGGAAACGGUAGCUAAUACCGCAUAACGUCGCAAGACCAAAGUGGGGGACCUUCGGGCCUCAUGCCAUCAGAUGUGCCCAGAUGGGAUUAGCUAGUAGGUGGGGUAACGGCUCACCUAGGCGACGAUCCCUAGCUGGUCUGAGAGGAUGACCAGCCACACUGGAACUGAGACACGGUCCAGACUCCUACGGGAGGCAGCAGUGGGGAAUAUUGCACAAUGGGCGCAAGCCUGAUGCAGCCAUGCCGCGUGUAUGAAGAAGGCCUUCGGGUUGUAAAGUACUUUCAGCGAGGAGGAAGGCAUUAAGGUUAAUAACCUUGGUGAUUGACGUUACUCGCAGAAGAAGCACCGGCUAACUCCGUGCCAGCAGCCGCGGUAAUACGGAGGGUGCAAGCGUUAAUCGGAAUUACUGGGCGUAAAGCGCACGCAGGCGGUCUGUCAAGUCGGAUGUGAAAUCCCCGGGCUCAACCUGGGAACUGCAUUCGAAACUGGCAGGCUUGAGUCUCGUAGAGGGGGGUAGAAUUCCAGGUGUAGCGGUGAAAUGCGUAGAGAUCUGGAGGAAUACCGGUGGCGAAGGCGGCCCCCUGGACGAAGACUGACGCUCAGGUGCGAAAGCGUGGGGAGCAAACAGGAUUAGAUACCCUGGUAGUCCACGCCGUAAACGAUGUCUAUUUGGAGGUUGUUCCCUUGAGGAGUGGCUUCCGGAGCUAACGCGUUAAAUAGACCGCCUGGGGAGUACGGCCGCAAGGUUAAAACUCAAAUGAAUUGACGGGGGCCCGCACAAGCGGUGGAGCAUGUGGUUUAAUUCGAUGCAACGCGAAGAACCUUACCUGGUCUUGACAUCCACGGAAUUUGGCAGAGAUGCCUUAGUGCCUUCGGGAACCGUGAGACAGGUGCUGCAUGGCUGUCGUCAGCUCGUGUUGUGAAAUGUUGGGUUAAGUCCCGCAACGAGCGCAACCCUUAUCCUUUGUUGCCAGCGGUUAGGCCGGGAACUCAAAGGAGACUGCCAGUGAUAAACUGGAGGAAGGUGGGGAUGACGUCAAGUCAUCAUGGCCCUUACGACCAGGGCUACACACGUGCUACAAUGGCAUAUACAAAGAGAAGCGACCUCGCGAGAGCAAGCGGACCUCAUAAAGUAUGUCGUAGUCCGGAUUGGAGUCUGCAACUCGACUCCAUGAAGUCGGAAUCGCUAGUAAUCGUGAAUCAGAAUGUCACGGUGAAUACGUUCCCGGGCCUUGUACACACCGCCCGUCACACCAUGGGAGUGGGUUGCAAAAGAAGUAGGUAGCUUAACCUUCGGGAGGGCGCUUACCACUUUGUGAUUCAUGACUGGGGUGAAGUCGUAACAAGGUAACCGUAGGGGAACCUGCGGUUGGAUCACCUCCUUACCUUAAAGAA